This 426-nucleotide ribosomal RNA is filed under the name uncultured bacterium. RNAcentral describes it as "bacterial SSU rRNA". It matches the Rfam family "Bacterial small subunit ribosomal RNA", at positions 355 to 772 of the family's 1533-position model. The record is from RNAcentral.
UGGGGAAUUGUUCGCAAUGGGCGCAAGCCUGACGACGCAACGCCGCGUGGAGGAUGAAGGUCUUCGGAUUGUAAACUCCUGUUGAUCGGGAAGAAUGGCCCCCGGGUUAAUACGCCGGGGGAGUGACGGUACCGAUUGAGGAAGCCACGGCUAACUCUGUGCCAGCAGCCGCGGUAAUACAGAGGUGGCAAGCGUUGUUCGGAAUUACUGGGCGUAAAGGGCGCGUAGGCGGUCGCCUAAGUCGGACGUGAAAUCCCCAAGCUUAACUUGGGAACUGCGUCCGAUACUGGGUGACUUGAGUUCGGGAGAGGAAUGUGGAAUUCCAGGUGUAGCGGUGAAAUGCGUAGAUAUCUGGAGGAACACCGGUGGCGAAGGCGGCAUUCUGGACCGAAACUGACGCUGAGGCGCGAAAGCCAGGGGAGCAAA